AUUGAACGCUGGCGGAAUGCUUUAUACAUGCAAGUCGAACGGCAGCACGGACUUCGGUCUGGUGGCGAGUGGCGAACGGGUGAGUAAUGUAUCGGAACGUGCCCAGUCGAGGGGGACAACGUAGUGAAAAUUACGCUAAUACAGCAUACGAUCUAUGGCUGAACGCGGGGGAUCGCAAGACCUCGCGCGCUUGGAGCGGCCGGUAUCUGAUUAGGUAGUUGGGGGGGAAAAGGCCCACCACGCCAACGAUCUGUAGCUGAGCUGAGGUGACGAACAGCCACACUGGUACUGAGACACGGCCCAGACUCAUACGGGAGGCAGCAGUGGGGAAUUUUGGACAAUGGGCGAAAGCCUGAUCCAGCCAUUCCGCGUGCAGGAGGAAGGUCUUCGGGUUGUAAACUGCUUUUGUACAGAACGAAAAGGUUUGUACUAAUACUAGGAGCUCAUGACGGUACUGUAAGAAUAAGCACCGGCUAACUACGUGCCAGCAGCCGCCGUAA
This 500-nucleotide ribosomal RNA is filed under the name uncultured bacterium. Its description in RNAcentral is "partial 16S ribosomal RNA". It matches the Rfam family "Bacterial small subunit ribosomal RNA", at positions 30 to 523 of the family's 1533-position model. The record is from RNAcentral.